AUACAGAGGGUGCAAGCGUUAAUCGGAUUUACUGGACGUAAAGCGCGCGUAGGUGGCUAAUUAAGUCAAAUGUGAAAUCCCCGAGCUUAACUUGGGAAUUGCAUUCGAUACUGGUUAGCUAGAGUAUGGGAGAGGAUGGUAGAAUUCCAGGUGUAGCGGUGAAAUGCGUAGAGAUCUGGAGGAAUACCGAUGGCGAAGGCAGCCAUCUGGCCUAAUACUGACACUGAGGUGCGAAAGCAUGGGGAGCAAACAGGAUUAGAUACCCUGGUAGUCCAUGCCGUAAACGAUGUCUACUAGCCGUUGGGGCCCUUGAGGCUUUAGUGGCGCAGCUAACGCGAUAAGUAGACCGCCUGGGGAGUACGGUCGCAAGACUAAAACUCAAAUGAAUUGACGGGG
Molecule: ribosomal RNA, 396 nt
Filed under: uncultured bacterium
Lineage: Bacteria
Description: partial 16S ribosomal RNA
Rfam family: Bacterial small subunit ribosomal RNA
Source: RNAcentral